RNAcentral lists this ribosomal RNA (468 nucleotides) under uncultured bacterium. RNAcentral describes it as "partial 16S ribosomal RNA". It matches the Rfam family "Bacterial small subunit ribosomal RNA", at positions 28 to 507 of the family's 1533-position model. The record is from RNAcentral.
GACGAACGCUGGCGGCGUGCUUAACACAUGCAAGUCGAACGGAAAGGCCCUGCUUUUGUGGGGUGCUCGAGUGGCGAACGGGUGAGUAACACGUGAGUAACCUGCCCUUGACUUUGGGAUAACUUCAGGAAACUGGGGCUAAUACCGGCUAGGAGCUCCUGCUGCAUGGUGGGGGUUGGAAAGUUUAGGCGGUUGUGGAUGGACUCGCGGCUUAUCAGCUUGUUGGUGGGGUAGUGGCUUACCAAGGCUUUGACGGGUAGCCGGCAUGGGAGGGGGAACGGGGACAAGGGGACUGAGAGACGGACCAGACGCCGAUGGGAGGCAGUAGGGGGGAAUAUGGCACAACGGGCGGAAGUCUGAGGCAGCAACGUUGCGUGUGGGAUGAAGGCUUUCGGGGGGUAAACCGCUGUCGCCUGUGACGAAGCGUGAGUGACGGUAAUGGGUAAAGAAGCACCGGCUAACUACGUG